AUACGAGUCUUUCCUUUUUUGCUUUUGCUUGACUUUCGCUCCCUAAUUGGGACACUAUGACCCUGAAUUGUAAUUCUUUGAUCCCAGAUUAAUGGUUUUGCCUCAUAAUUGCCUCCCAACAAUUUUAGGUGGACUGAGAACACAAUGCAAUUUAAUUGGCACAGGAACCGCUCGAAUGGGUACGAUUUGUAUUCCUGCUUUACAAAGACAGAGGCUGAAGCUCAUACCUUCUGCUUAAACAAUUGGCUGGAUCCUGGAAGAAUGAAUCACCAUGUGUGAAGGAAACUCAGGAGUAUUGGUUUCUUGGAAGUCUGACAGAUCCAUAAACAGAGUAUGAAAGUGACAAGGAUGCUUUCAGUUUUGAUCCCAGCCUGUCUUUGCCCCCCAGCUUUGGCUUCUGAUGAGAAGGAGCAGGCCAACCCAGAGCUCCUGGUGCUGGGAUGAGGACUCUUUGAAGGUGGAUCCCAGGAAAUGGUGAAGAGAGGUUGUGGAGGACAAGAAAGUUUUCCUAACAGCCACACUGGAUUCCUACAGCUCCUCGGGCACACCAGCCAUGUGCCUUUGUAACUUCCCCCAUGAAUCUGCCUGGUUAACACCUUAUCUCAUUCAAGUCUGAUUAUAUCUCAGCUUCUCAAGGAAGGGUACCCUGACCACCCUAUUUUAUGUUUCUAGCAACCUGCCACCACAACCUAUUUUCCUGAUGCUUUUUCCUCUGAUUUACUUUUUCUGUUUUUUCUUUUCUAGCACAUAUCACUUUUUCACACAUACAGUUUAAUUUUCUUAUCUGUUGUAUCUAUUAUUUCUUGUCUUCUUUGCUAGAAUAUAAGUUUCUCAAGGCCAAGGGUCUUUGUCAAGUUUGUUCAUUGAUUAUAUAAAGCCCCGGGAACAGUGCCUGGAACAUAGGAACUCAAUAAAUGUUGGUUGAAUUAAGAGAUUUAAUGAGAAGAUCUUGAAUAGGAAAAGGUGAUUGGUUCCAGAUUCAAAAGAACAGUCAAGAGAGGAAGGUAUUUAGUAUCAAAGUAAUCCAUUAAAAUUUGAUUCUAAAUUUCUUUUUUUAAAUUUUGAAAAAAUUUGCUUAACUGCCAUAAGAGGCAGAGUUUGGAAUCUGAGGGGAUUCUUGACGAAAUCUCUGUAGCUUAUUUUCUGAGAUGAGAUCCACAGAAAUCUGGCAGAAACUCAUGAAACUACCGCCAAGGCCAGUUGAUCUGAGCCACUGUGGUCAAUCCAUUUCCGUUUUUUGUUUUUUGUUUCUUCCCCUUUCCAAUAUCCCAGAGCAACAGGAUAAACUAUGCCAUUGGGUCUUCUUCUCUCCCCUUAAAUUCCUUAUGUGGCCAUAACUUAUAAAAGUAUUCUUGGACUUACCCAAUGGAUAGGGAUUGUAAUAAAAGCAGGCCAAAUUUAAAGAUCAGGGCAACCACUAACCAUGAUGGGGGAUACUAUUCAUGUGACUAACUCCUUCUGGCAGGAAAUAGAGGAGUCAAACCUGCAAAUCCCAGCGCAAAGAACAACCUGACACAAUCCACAGAUCUGAGUCACUGAGGCUAUGCCUAAACCCAAGUGAAGCAGAAGCAAUUGCUUGGUUAGUUCAAAAUGAGUGCUUUCUAUUUCCUUAGGAGACUAACAAACCUCCUAAGCACCACAUUAAAUAGACAAGACACUUGUAAUCAUUAGGCAAAUUUUCUUAGUUUCGAGAAACGGAAGAACUUUUUUAUAUCUUUGCUCAUCCCUUGGAGACAUAGAACAUUAUUCUUUAAUUGAGUAUGCCUUAAAAGAGGGACUAAAUAGCCUCUCCAGGUGUCUUCUAGAUCCACACAUCUUUAAUUUAUCCAUGGACAAACAUAAUAUUGUAGAAGAAUUGAAGGAGUGUAGCUCUAAGUCUUGGUCCUGCCUUAUUAGUCAUCAUCCAGCUGCCUUUAUACUGUGGAUCGGGGAGGCACAGUUGUACGAAUUCACUGUCACUGGAAGACUGAGGUUUGUUCCUGUCUGGAAGUUUGUUCAAGCGUGAGUCCACUGAUUGAGGCAGUGAUUGUGGUCUGCCAAGGGUGCUGUGUAAAAAGGAAGUCGUUUCUUCCAACAGUCUUGUUUGUGUUUUCCAAACUGUUUCAGUUUAUGUUCUGUUUCCAUUCCCAUGCUCAGCCCUCCCAAAGUAAACAGAUGACAAGUUGUGGUGGUGGGAUAGUGGUGAGGCAGGGGUGGGGAUGGAGGUGGAGGAAGGAAGAGAUGUCCCCAGGGCAAGAGGAUUUUCAAAGAACCCAAAUGUAAUUUGGAAAUAAACUCAAGUGCCAAAAACCAGAUGGGAUUUAUAGCCUUGAGAUCAACCCAAUCUGCAGGCACAAAUACAGACUCCUAGAAAUUCCAUUUACUUAUUCUAAAAUGACCAAACACUCCAAGACAUUCUUAUACCAAACUCCAGCUAAACUGGUGGCUGAAGAUCAAUCUUGGACAUAGCAGUAGGUAUACUUCUUUCUUCCAUUCAUCCCACCCAUCCACUUCUGCUGGUCCAGAAAACUCAUUUCUUUCUCAGACUUUCUAGAAGAAUAGACCAUGAACUCCCUUAAUUCCAACCAUGGCACUACAAAUUCUUAAAUUUUAAAAAAAAAAAAAAAAAGGAAAGAAUAGGGAAAAAAAAAAAAAAGAAACAAAUGCAUUGAGAAAAUAAACUUCCAGAAUUUUAACUCAUUCUGAAAAAUAAGCCAACAUUUAGAAUUUCUUUCUUUCCAAGUCUACUCCCAAGACCUUAGCUGACCUCACGUGGAUUAGAAAGUUCUCUUUCUGCAAAUGAAACUAAUUGUAAACCUUGAUUCAGUAGCACUGGAACUGACAAAAAUCUCCCUUUAACGUACCUGUCUACCAAAAUACAUACAACUAAAAAUAGCAGUAACAUGUGGUUCCUCUGUUUAAAGGCAAAUAAUUCUAUUGUAUUAUUAUAACUCACAUAGAAAGCACUUGUCAAAAAUUAGUUGAUCAUGUAUUUCUACGUUAGCAGAAUAAAAAAAAAGACAAUUACAUAAUGUGAGAUGACAUAGUUCUUUUGUCCAAAAGUAAAAAAAUAACUAUAUGGUUAUAGUUAUACAAUUUACAUAGUGUUACAAUGAGCAACUGUUACUUUCAUGAUU
Molecule: long non-coding RNA, 3116 nt
Organism: Mustela erminea (ermine)
Lineage: Eukaryota; Metazoa; Chordata; Mammalia; Carnivora; Mustelidae
Exons: 4
Source: RefSeq, a predicted model, not a curated record